GCUGGCUGACACUCACACAAGCACAAAAAACCAAAAAGUAAUAAUAAUUUCACAACUUUUAAAGUUAUUCUGUAUCAAUUUCGUCUUCCUCCUUCUUCUAGGGUUUCUACAUUUUCUCGUUUUUUCCAUUUCUGGAAACCGUUAAAGGUGUCUCUUCUUGUUCCUUGGGGCGAAAUGGAGACAGGUGAAGCGUACCAGAAGAAAGAGCGAGCUUCACUUGUAGCUAUUGUCGUUCUUGCUUGCCUUGCUCUGUCAUCUUUGUUCGUCGCCUUUAGCUACUACUGCUAUAUCCGUAACAAAGUUUCCAAGCGUCACAGAAUCAACAAGAAGUUUGACUGCGAGGAGAAAGGUGAUUGUCAAGAACAACAAGAAGUUACUGACAAGGGGAUACAGGUUUUCACUUUCAAGCAACUACAUUCCGCGACUGGUGGGUUUAGCAAGUCGAAUGUGGUUGGUCACGGUGGGUUUGGAUUGGUUUAUCGUGGUGUCCUUAGCAACGGGAGAAAAGUUGCUAUCAAGUUUAUGGAUAAUGCAGGAAAGCAAGGUGAAGAAGAGUUCAAGAUGGAGGUUGAGUUACUGAGCCGUCUGCGCUCACCGUACUUGUUGGCCCUUCUUGGUUAUUGCUCAGACAAUAGUCACAAACUGCUUGUUUAUGAGUUCAUGGCCAAUGGCUGUCUGCAGGAACACCUCUAUCCUAAUAACAGGUCUGGUUCUGUCCCAUUGAGAUUAGAUUGGGAAACUCGGAUGAGAAUAGCUCUGGAAGCUGCAAAAGGCUUGGAGUAUCUCCAUGAACAUGUAACACCUCCAGUGAUUCACCGAGACUUCAAGAGCAGCAAUGUUCUGCUUGACAGAAACCUCCACGCCAAAGUCUCAGACUUCGGAUUGUCUAAAGUCGGGUCAGAUAAAGCUGGUGGAUAUGUUGCUCCUGAGUAUGCUUUAACCGGCCACUUGACUACAAAAUCAGAUGUCUAUAGCUACGGCAUUGUCCUGUUAGAGCUACUAACCGGGAGGGUUCCGGUAGAUAUGAAGAGAGCUGCUGGAGAAGGAGUUCUUGUAUCUUGGGCUUUGCCUCAACUGGCUGAGAGAGAUAAAGUGGUGGACGUAAUGGAUCCAGCACUGGAAGGGCAGUACUCGGCCAAAGAGGUUGUUCAGGUUGCAGCAAUAGCAGCAAUGUGUGUUCAAGAAGAAGCUGAUUACAGACCGUUGAUGGCAGAUGUGGUGAAGUCAUUGGUUCCUUUAGUGAGAAGCCGUGGGUCAGGUUCAAAGCUAAGUGGAUGCUCUCCUAACUCACCCGGUAAAGCAAGCGUCGGUUCUCAGUAAAAUCAAAGAAAACUAACGAAUUGUAUAAUGUAACAUCAACUCUGGAGACCGUCUCACCAGAGCCUCUAAGGCGACGAGGAUAACCAAAAAGGAAACUUUCUUCCAUUGCACGAACCACAGAGAUUAGCUCUAACGCGAAGAGAUCAUUCACUGUCCUGUCUCCGGCAAGAUCUGAGCUAACACCGGGAGAAUAAUCUCCUCUUGUCGGGUUGAGAAUGACGAAUCUACAGAGAGGACACUGUCCUUUGCUUUUCAACCAUGGAACUAUACAUUCCUCAUGAAACAUAUGUUUGCAAGGAGUUACCAUCACUGUUUCCUUGGGCUCAAAGUCUUCUAAACACACUGUGCAUCUCUUUUCAUCGUCUUCUUCACCAGAGUAACCUUGAGGGCUUCUUGAGUUUUCGCUUCCCGGGUUCUUGUUCCUGUAGUAUAAGCUCAGGUUUCUGAGGAGCUGGCUUUUCCGGACAGGGUUAUAUGUCUGUUUUGUUAGAUGUUUCAGAACAUGGUAUUCUUCUCUGGCUUGUGAUGCUGCAGAUCUUGAGUUGCUCUCGUGUGUAUGGUGUUGGUUGUGAACGGCUUGCCUUAGUGCCUCCAGGUGUUGCCUCCGUAAGUUGUUGCUGGUUCGGAUUGGAGUCUGAUGUGAUAUUGAAUCUCUGCCAAGAACAACGGUUUUCAAAGACUAAAACUAUUGGAAACAUAUAAAAAGCAAGAAGAUAUAAGAUAGCGAUGAUGAUCUAAUGAGUAAGUACACGUUUGAUGUAGCUGUUGAUGAGUAAGUGGAUUGAGGAUCAUCGAGCAAACGCCUAUUAGCUAUCUGAAAGAGAACACCAAAACAUCAAAACACCAUUAAAGGAAGGCUAAAACAUUCUUUGCCAUUACUCUACUGACCAAAUCACUCAUGGACCAAGCGUUCCGUGAAGAGAAAGAAGGAACUGGCCGACCCAAGGAUCUUGUAACCAAGCCAUAUCUAUUGGAUUGAUUUGGAGCAUCAGAAUAGCCAUUUCUGACAUUAUUGCUCAUAGCUGAAUGAAUGGUCUUUCUUGUAACAGAGAAGAGAUGUCUUUGUAUUGUAAUGCAGACUUAGUUUAUAUU
RNA transcript from Brassica napus (rape), 2412 nucleotides. It is a transcript of the gene named probable serine/threonine-protein kinase PBL7, with no coding region annotated. The transcript has 6 exons. The record is from RefSeq and is a predicted model, not a curated record. NCBI's taxonomy places the organism in Eukaryota, Viridiplantae, Streptophyta, Magnoliopsida, Brassicales, Brassicaceae.